AAAUUGCGUUUCUGGAGCGAUUUUCAUGUUUGGACCACCUGUAUAAUGCUCUAUAUAGAAAGAAUAGGUGCCCUAUUAGCCCAGAUACUCCAAAUUCAUGUUACAACUUAAAAACAUGCAAUUAUUGCUUCCUCAUAUUGAUUUUAAACACGUGCGACACGUGUAAAGCCGAAACAUCAAUUAAUUCAUCAAUAAUGAAAUAAGUAAGCAGUUAAUUGUUUUCCAAUGGUUAUCAUAAAGGGUAGUUUCCUAUAUUUCGUUAUACUCUUUCCGAUUUUCAACUUUGUGAUUUUGACUUGGCAAUUUUUGCCACCAUAUUUGGAAAAAUUGCACCGAAAUCGUUUUUAUCAGUAUUUUAGAUUGAAUUCAUAAUGAAGGUAGUUCUGUUUUGUAAAUUUUAUUUUUGAUAGUUUCACAUCAAUAACAUUUAACAUCAUUAACAUCUUACGUCCACAUAAAUACACACAUUUUCAGACAUUUUUAAAUAUAUUGACUUAAAAUUGUAAUACAACACGACAAACGCUACACUUCUUGAGACACUCUAUACUUUUUGUGGUACUACAAAGAUUCCUCAGAUGGCGCGACGAUGUUUGUUUUACUAAAAAUAUUCCAGCGAGUGAAUUUUGUUGUGUUGCAUCGGUGCGAUAACGAUAAGCCCACAUUCCAUACUUUCAGUUUGUGUUAUUCAUUGUUGCAAGUUCGGUAAAUCGCGUUAUAUCUGGUUGAUCUCCGGUGAUAAUUAGUGUUAAUAGACGUGUUUGGUCUUCUACUAGUUGUUUAUCGCGUGGUAAUUUUCGUAAUACUAAAUUUGGCGUGUUUAGUGUAUUCGCGAGUGUGUUUGUGGGGUUGUUGUCGUCGGGCGACGGCCGGAGACAUUUUGUGAACGCCAAGAAUUAAUUGAUUUGUGAAAAACAUUUUUGCCAUAAACAGAGGAGCAUGAACUAAUGCGCUAUCAGUUUCUACCAACUUGCCGUCGAUUCACCGUCUUCUAUAACUGGGAUUUUGCACCUGAUACAUGCAUCGUACAAAAACCAUUCUUUUAUCAGAUUGGAUUUUGCACCUGAUCCAUGUAUCGUACAAAAACCUUUCUUUCAUCAGAUUGGAUUUUGCACCUGAUCCUUGCAUCAUACAGCAACCAUUCUUUCAUCCAAUUGGAUUUUGCACCUGAUCCAUGCAUCGUACAAAAACCUUUCUUUCAUCAGAUUGGGUUUUGCACCUGAGCCCGAAUUCGUAGGAGAACCAUUAUUUUAUCAGAUUGGUUUUGCACCUGAGCCCGACUUCGUAGAAGAACCAUUCUUUUAUCAGAUUGGGUUUUGCACCUGAGCCCGACUUCGUAGGAGAACCAUUAUUUUAUCAGAUUGGGUUUUGCACCUGAGCCCGACUUCGUAGGAGAACCAUUAUUUUAUCAGAUUGGGUUUUGCACCUGAGCCCGACUUCGUAGGAGAACCAUUAUUUUAUCAGAUUGGGUUUUGCACCUGAGCCCGACUUCGUAGAAGAACCAUUCUUUUAUCAGAUUG
Molecule: long non-coding RNA, 1517 nt
Organism: Dalotia coriaria
Lineage: Eukaryota; Metazoa; Arthropoda; Insecta; Coleoptera; Staphylinidae
Exons: 12
Source: RefSeq, a predicted model, not a curated record